Molecule: long non-coding RNA, 3532 nt
Filed under: Triticum aestivum (bread wheat)
Lineage: Eukaryota; Viridiplantae; Streptophyta; Magnoliopsida; Poales; Poaceae
Description: long non-coding RNA (TAES_LNC004663)
Source: RNAcentral
GACCGGCCAGCCGCAUCAUCGGUAUGUUUGCCACAACUUAGUAAUUAGAAAUCAGUUCCGUCCGUGUUUUGUUGGUUCAAGUGCCCUUUUUCAAUGAAAUUUAUUUUGUGAUGAAUCGAUCUGGUCAUAUUCUGACAGAAUAUAAAAAAUCUGAUGUAACAAUCUGGCCACAUCCUUCUACUCUUAUUGAUUGAUCUGAUUAAUAUUUUUUUUGCAAUUCGAUGUACAAAUCAAUCUAGCUGAUUUUUAUAGUUCAUCCCAGUAAGUGAAAUAUUAUUCUCACAAGGUGUUCGACUAAUUUCGGAGUUGAUUUUAAGAUCCCUAAGUGGUUUCAACUGCAAACUAAUUUAGGUCCUGUAGUGAUUUGUCAAUGGCGUACUACCGAAGUGCUUCUAGCGAUAGCAACAUGCACGUACAAGUGCUUUGAAGCAGGCAUAUCGAUGGAUUUUUGGGAGGAAGAAGCUAGCAAGAUAAACUUUCGGCCUUAGCUCACAUGUAUAUUCUGAGAAUUUUCUUCUCCGUUGAACAAUUUAUGUCCUUCUGCAGAUGGCUAAUCAUCGGAACUAUGAGAAAGUAGGCCAUUGUUUACAAACUCAAGGAUUCAGUGAUGUUGAAGCUAAAAGCUGGACUUCACUGCCCUCUGCUCCUCAAUUCAGCCGCCGUUGCCCGCUGCUCCUCAAUUCAGCCGCUGCUGCCGCCACGUUGAGGCCCUCGCCACUAAGCCGGUGAACUUGGAUCAGGUGUGAACUUUGAUCAUGUUUUUCUUUACCUUAACAUCAAGCCGUCGGCUGGGUUUAGGAAGGUAGCUCACGGGACAAACAUUGGUGGCUCACACUCAAUUAUUAAGAGCACCAUAAUUGGAAAAUAUGCACUUGCUAAAACAAAAUUAAUAAUGACAAAAACUAUGAACAUCAGUCAAAGUUCAUGGUCAGAUUCCUCAUCACAGAUUUGGGUCAAAAGUCAAAAAUGCAAGGGAGUAACAACAAAAAAACACGACUUCAAUUGUGCUCCUGUUGGUUAAUAUACCGAGUAAAAAUAAAUAGAACAACCUAUAAUAUAGAGCUUAUGUGCUUUGCACGAAACUGAAUGCAUGGCACUGAACAUAUCUCUAAUCUAUUAUAUGUUAUAUAAGAAAGCACAUAAUUGGGAGGACUGAAAUCCAGCUUGGUUAAACGAAAUAAAUUGGCAACAUAAUUUGGGAGGUGCCUAUCUUUUGUAGCAACGAAGUAAGAUAGUCGACAAGUUCUGGAUCAACAAGACCCUGAGCAUGUCUUGACCCCUAAAUGGAUUACUGCAAGCCUUACUCAAAUGAUAAUAAUAAAAGGUAGACUCGGCUCCUCCACUCAUGCUUCUCUGAAUACAAUGUAAAUUUCAGAACAUGGCUCUCUGAAUUUCUACAACCUAAAUUUAGUACAUGCUUCUUUGAAUGUUGGCCAGCCAAUCGGUACUGUAUUGCAGACUUCAGAGAAUUGUAUGCAUGCCCUUUAUGCCAAUGGAUUACUGCAUUUUUAUGUUAGGUUUUACACUAUUUGAAUGUAAGGACUAUAUAGUAUCUCUUUGGCAAUCUAUGGCAAGUCAUUUUCUGCACAUAAAAUUCAGUGCAUGCUUCUCUGAAUAUCUGCAAUACAAGUGAGCAAAAUUCGUUCUUACAUGUUGUCCUGCCAAUUGGUAUUGGCAGCCUUGCAUACAUGUUUUUAAAAUGCUUAAUCCAAGUGCCACUUCUGUACUAAAUAAGCUGAACUUUAUUUUAUAAAUAACUAAAUGUUGGUUUGCUGACGUCUUCUUGUGAUUGAAUUCUGGAACUUACAUUGUCCGUUUGCAACAUUACAUACGGCCAUGCUUUGCAAGACGUUCUAUAUAUAGGCUCUUUUGUACGUGAUAAAAAAAUUUGGACACAUAUUUGUUACUCCCUCCGUCCCAUAUUUGUCAAAAACGCUCUUAUAUUAUGGGACGGAGGGAGUAGAACUAUGAGUUCACCAUAUACUAUGAAAAUUCAUCAACUUGGGAUUAUGAAUCAUGUUUGUUUUUUGGAGAACCAUGUACUGAUUUAGAUAAAACCUCAUUAGCGAGAAAUAUUUGACUCGUAGGGAGCUACUGUAGUUUUUCCUGCUUUUCCAAUUAUUCUGUUGUUACUUCGUUCAUAGCUAUGGAAUGGAUCCUUCUACCAUUGCCAGUUCAGCUAUACCAGGUACACUCUGAUGCUUGUUCAUGGAAUUUUGGUAACAAUAUGAACUGUGAUAUGUUCUGAAACAUAAACUGAGAGGCAAACUUAUAUUAUGUUUAACAGGUUUGGCUGUUGUUCCUCUAUACAACUUUAUCUUUUAGUAUCGACCAAUACCUCAUAUCCCAUUUGAAGGGAAUAUUGUGAUGCUCUAGGACUUUAUGUUAUUUUACCAUACAAUCCGAUAAAAAUGAUGCUCUUCUUCAAUGCCUGUCUAUCCACCUCCGACGUGUUGUUUGUUGGCUGUUCUUGUUAUGCUUUUUUCUGUUCGUUUCAAAGUUAUUAACUCAUUAGGCAUAUAAGUACCAAUAAUGCAAGUUUUUUUGGGUCAUUUGGAACUUAGCAAAAGUUCAUUUUAUUCUAAAGGUGAGUAUGGAAUCAUCCGACAUCCUGGUGGCUCUUGUAAGUCUCAAAUGGGAGAUUAAGGGACAAGUUGAUUGUUCACACAAGGUAGGUGUACUUUUAGGCCUCUGGUUUGUUCUAAACAUGUAAGUUCGGGCUUAGCCUAUACUCUUUUCACAGAGAGUUGCCGAGUUGUUUCUGUGCCAGGCUGUGAUGCAAGGUUUUGCCAUGUUGCUGAAAAGAUAUCAAUGUCGAAGACUAUAUACAACUUUGUAGUCGUCUGCUCAAAUUUUAGUCAAAAUAGAUAUUUGUAAGUUGAAAAUUUAUUUUUGGCAGGCUAAAAUAAUGGAGGUUGUGUGGGAAGAGAUUGUUGUUGUUUAAGGCUAACUAUUGUUGUUCUGUCACUUCCCCUUUCUCUUGCUGGUAUGUGGUUAUCCAUAUGAUAGCUGGGAUUGAAUAUGCAACAUGCAACUACCUUGUCUUCAUAAUUCACUAUUCAUCUUGAUACAUGAUGAUAUACUCAAAUUUUUGUUUUACUUGGAUAAUAGUACCUGUCAUUUUAUUUAGAAUAGUAGCAGGCCAUUUAUUUAGAAUACUACUAGGUCAUUUAUUUAAUUUAAUGCGUACAUUACAGUAUUCCUUUGAAUGCUAGCCAAACUUGUAGGUGAGUUAGAAACCUACUUCUAAGUUCUGGGAUGUCCGCCAAGCAACCAAACUUGUGUUGGGAGUGUCAUUCUGGUUGGCCUUCCACCAGAAGAAAAUCGCCAUGGACACCCCAAGUCGGUUGUUCCUCUACUCCAUAGAGAUGUGUCACUCACCGCCGUUGGCACUUAACUAACGACGGCGUCAAAAUAGAAAGAUGAAAAGUUGGACUUGUAAGAGAAUAGUCAUAUUACUACAAUAGAUGUAGAUCUUGAGCAUAUCGAAAGAUUAAAUUGUAAUUUGUAACAGGAAUGCAAUAGCAUUUUG